CCUACGGGAGGCAGCAGUGGGGAAUAUUGGGCAAUGGGCGCAAGCCUGACCCAGCAACGCCGCGUGAAGGAAGAAGGCUUUCGGGUUGUAAACUUCUUUGACAGGGGAAGAGCAGAAGACGGUACCCUGAGAACAAGCCACGGCUAACUACGUGCCAGCCGCCGCGGUAAUACGGAGGAUCCGAGCGUUAUCCGGAUUUAUUGGGUUUAAAGGGUGCGUAGGCGGUUUGAUAAGUUAGAGGUGAAAUGUCGGGGCUCAACCCCGAAACUGCCUCUAAUACUGUUGGACUAGAGAAUAGGUGCGGUAGGCGGAAUGUAUGGUGUAGCGGUGAAAUGCGUAGAGAUCAUGCAGAACACCGAUGGCGAAGGCAGCUUACCGAACUGUAACUGACGUUGAGGCGCGAAAGCGUGGGGAGCAAACAGGAUUAGAUACCCUUGUAGUC
RNAcentral lists this ribosomal RNA (442 nucleotides) under uncultured bacterium. Its description in RNAcentral is "partial 16S ribosomal RNA". It matches the Rfam family "Bacterial small subunit ribosomal RNA", at positions 338 to 795 of the family's 1533-position model. The record is from RNAcentral.